This 284-nucleotide ribosomal RNA is filed under the name Dorea longicatena. RNAcentral describes it as "partial 16S ribosomal RNA". It matches the Rfam family "Bacterial small subunit ribosomal RNA", at positions 493 to 776 of the family's 1533-position model. Lineage: Bacteria; Bacillati; Bacillota; Clostridia; Lachnospirales; Lachnospiraceae. The record is from RNAcentral.
UAUGGUAAUUGUGUGCCAGCCUCUUCUUUACUACGUAGGGGGCAAGCGUUAUCCGGAUUUACUGGGUGUAAAGGGAGCGUAGACGGCACGGCAAGCCAGAUGUGAAAGCCCGGGGCUCAACCCCGGGACUGCAUUUGGAACUGCUGAGCUAGAGUGUCGGAGAGGCAAGUGGAAUUCCUAGUGUAGCGGUGAAAUGCGUAGAUAUUAGGAGGAACACCAGUGGCGAAGGCGGCUUGCUGGACGAUGACUGACGUUGAGGCUCGAAAGCGUGGGGAGCAAACAGG